RNAcentral lists this transfer RNA (73 nucleotides) under Pseudomonadota bacterium. RNAcentral's name for it is "tRNA-Arg". It matches the Rfam family "tRNA". Rfam says of the family: Transfer RNA (tRNA) molecules are approximately 80 nucleotides in length. Lineage: Bacteria; Pseudomonadati; Pseudomonadota. RNAcentral also lists the same sequence under 1 other name. The record is from RNAcentral.
GCGCCCGUAGCUCAACGGACAGAGCACCAGACUUCGGAUCUGGGGGUUGCGGGUUCGAAUCCUGCCGGGCGCG